AACUUCAAACUGUUCAGCCUAUUCGGGAAUCACAGGCUUUCCCUUGGCAAUUUCCCAGAAUUUCAGCGGCACCCCCGACACCUCCUUCCACAGCUGCUGGAGGUCCGACGGACACAUCGUGGCUGGCAACCUUAGUCGUUCUCGUCAUCACUGGCAAAGUGUUUUCUCUCCUCUGAGGUUCCUCCCAGUCAGGAUCUUCUUGUGAGGUUGACGGAUGACGUGGAUCCAUGUUUUCUCUACAGCCUCCACAUUUCAGAGGAAGAUUUUCAAAGUUUAAAAGUGCAGCGGAGAAUUCGGUUGGAAUUCACAUCGUUUCCCGACAUGCUCAUGGAGUAUUUUAAUGAAUGUCGAUCCGAGCAGAAGUCCAGCCAUCCCAGGUUCCAGCUGCUUCUUCCUUGUGACUCUGCCUCACUCCAAGGCCCCGCCAACUUCAGUGUGGUGGAGAGAUGUUCCUACCAAGACACGGACCGCCUGACCCUGAGGCUCAAGCCAGGCUCAGACAGAGAAGUCAAUGAGUAUCUGGCUGCGUCUCUGACAUCU
Entelurus aequoreus (snake pipefish) is the source of this 540-nucleotide long non-coding RNA. RefSeq lists it as uncharacterized. The transcript has 4 exons. Lineage: Eukaryota; Metazoa; Chordata; Actinopteri; Syngnathiformes; Syngnathidae. The record is from RefSeq and is a predicted model, not a curated record.